Rosa rugosa (rugosa rose) is the source of this 3389-nucleotide RNA transcript. It is a transcript of the gene named cytochrome P450 CYP749A22-like, with no coding region annotated. The transcript has 4 exons. The record is from RefSeq and is a predicted model, not a curated record. NCBI's taxonomy places the organism in Eukaryota, Viridiplantae, Streptophyta, Magnoliopsida, Rosales, Rosaceae.
AUUGACAAUAAAAAUGACAACUGUUUGCUUCACUAUAAACGGACUAGAAUUAGAGAAGUUUUACGGUACAGUAGUGGAUCAAUAAACAAAAUAGACUUGGUUCGAUAUAAAAAUGUAGUCAGAAACUAGUUCGCUAACGCAUGGGGUCAGCCUAGUUAAAGGAAUCAACCACAAAAGAAGACACAGGAAAUACUUGGGUGACAGGUAUCAUUGAAACUUCCACAUGCGUCCAAAUUCAUCUGACACUUUUCUAAAUGUAUUCAAACAAAAAUCUUUUCUUGACCGUCACUGCGUAUAAACUCGGCGCCGGACUUGGGCUCAGAUAGAGAUCAAGACGGAGAUCCGGCACAAAAUUAAGACAAAUGAUGAGUUCUUGUGUUCAUUCUUUCGAGCAUGAUGCUCUUAUCUCUGGUUAUGGACAUUUUUCACAAGCUAUGGUGGACUCCAAUGCGCAUACAGAGUUUGAUGGCUUCUCAGGGAAUCAAAGGCCCUUCUUACAGAUUCAUCCAUGGAAACGCCAAAGAAAUCUCCAAUAUGGGAAAGGAAGCCAUGAGCAGGCCAAUUAAUUUGUCACAUGACAUAUUGUCUGCUGUUCAACCUCAUUUUCACUCAUGGAGCAAGAUAUAUGGAACUGUUUUUCUGCAACGGCAUGGUCCUCAAGCUCAGUUGGUGAUUAUGGAACCUGACUUGUGCAAACAGUUACUGAAUAACAAAGAGAGAGCCUAUGUGAAAAGAGAACCCUUCCCCUAUGUAAGGAAGCUAGUUGGAGGUAGCGUUGGAAUAACAGAGGAUUCUGAAAAAUGGGCAAAACUGAGAAAGCUGUCCAACUAUGCCUUCCAUGGAGAGAGCUUAAAAUUUCAAAUUUUGAGGGAACGAAGAGAGAGAAGGUCUGGUUCUGGGGCGAUAGAGAGAGAACGAAGAGAGACAAGCUUGCAAUGGAGAGAGAAGCAAUCUUGCUCUAGAUUUGAACCUUGCUGCAGCUCGGUUUGAAUUCUUUCUUCGAUUUCAAUUCCGUUUGUUUUUUUUUUAUCCAAGUUUGCUUUUCAUCUCGAUUGAAUUUAAGUUUGAUUUUGAAUCUGAGUUUGUUUUCCUGUACAGUUUGUUAUUUUCGAAUCAUUGUGCUACUUAAGUUUGACCUAUGUUUUGUGAAAUUUUGAGCUUUGAUUUGGUUCGAUUUGCUAUUUUUCUUGAUUAUAAGUUUGUUGUGCUAAGUUUGAUCUGGUUCGUUGUGCUAAGUCUGUAUGAUUAUGUUUUGAAACAGUUCGAUUCAUUUUGUGUGAUUUUUAUUCUACAUUUUGAUGAAUUGUUGUUCACUGAUCUAUUUUCUAUGUUCGAGUGAAGUGAUUUGGUAGUUUGUGAAGUGAUUUUGGUCUUUGCGAAUCCUCUACUUAUUGGGGGGCAAUAGUAGUUGUCAAAGAACUCAUUUUCUUCUUUUUUGUUACGCUUAAUUGUUACUGAAGUUCAGUAAUAGUUGUUCAUAGUAACUUGUUUAUGUUUUGUGAAGUGAUUUUGGUCUUUGAGACCUCUCUAUGGGGGGGAAUAAAGGUUUAUUAGGGAGCAAUAAUGGUUUGAUUUUGUUUUGUUUUUUGGUUUUUUUAUGUAGGAAUAUGGAUGGUUCCUUGACUGUUAACUGCACUUAUUCUGGACAAGGUUUCAUGUUUUGUAUUAAUCAAUAAAUGAGCUAUGCUAAUUUGUUUGAAUACAUUUGUCAACGGUUCAAGUUUUUUACAGCUGAUGGUGUUGAGCUUCAGUACUCGCUUCCCGGAUGUGCUGUUUUUUUUUCUUCACAAUGAUAAUGAUUUCUAGAUGUUGUUUAGCAGUGCCAAGAUUUACAAGUUGAAUUGUGUUGAUAUUACGGUGUUGAAGAAUAGUGGAAGUUGCAGCAAAAAAGCUUAUGUUUCAUUUGGAGAUAGCUGCUCCAGUAUUAUGAAUGAAGAUGAUUACCUCACUGAGGCAUUUAGGACUGAAGUUCAGAUGUCUUACUUGUCGAAUGAGUGGUCUAGUUACAUUCAAUGUGUAGGGCAGAAAUUUUGUGGCGGUUCCUGUUAGGUCCAUAAUUAUCUAGAAAUGAUGGAGAAGCUUGGAAAUGCACUAAAAACUCAACUUUAGCACAUUUUCCUACUCCGGCUAGGAGAAACCGAGCUAGGCAAGGAAGGAGGAGCGGCAGACUGACCAAAUGAACUCCAAAUGCGUUGAAAAUUUCCAGAUCUAUUCUAGACAUCCUAAGGAUAAUUUAGUAUGAAGAGUGCAAGAGCUAGUUCGGAGUAGAAGGCCAUCAAAAUAUCGGUCCAAUUUUAUGACUAAAAGACGAAAACUGCAAAACCGGACCUGUACGGAUUCCGGCAGCAUUUCUGGCCAAACCACGGUGAAAUAAGUUCUGAAAUUUUACCAGGAUAAUCUAAACUCAUGGAGGAACAUUUAGUAUGAAGAAGUCAAAGGCCAAUUCCUAACUCUCGGUGGAGAUUCAAUAGAAGGAAGAAAGGAGAAGAAAGUGUGAAAACGGACAAAAAAUAGGUCAACGGUGGUCAACGCAGGAUUCCGAACAUUUCCGGCCGAGUUGGCCGGCUGAGAACAUGUGUGGAGGACAAGGAAGAGCUGACUAGGGUUAAAGACUUUAGGUUGAAAGACUUUAGGUCUAGGUUAUUUUGAAAUUCAAAAUUUGAAAGAUGACAAGUGGUCCUAUUCUUACACCUUACACCUUUGUCUCCCAUUUAUUACCUUGUUCCCUACACAAUGACCCUUCUACCCCUACUUUUUCUUCUCCACCAAAAUAUCUAUGGGCUUUGUAGGUCAUUUCUAUGUGGAGUCAAAAACUAGAUCCACAUUUUGUGCUUACAAAUUUGUCAAUCACAUCUAGCCCUUCAUUCCUUUUGAUCUCCACCCUUGAUUUGGAUUGCAUUGGCCUUUAAAUAGCCCUUCCUCUCUCCCAAAACUGUGCAUCCCCUUGGCUCCCUCAUUUUGGAGCAUCAAAAUCUCUCAUUUCUCUAGUUUUAGGUUAGUUUUUCAUAGCUUGUACAUAGUUCUGAGUUUGUGUGAGAAAUAAGUGUGUAGCAAACACUUGGGUUUCACCAAAACCGAAGUUACUACACACUCUAAAUCAAUCACAACACUUGCUUUCACACAUCCAAGCCUUUGUUCUUCUUUGUUCUUGAGUUUUGUGGAUGUGUAUGGUGUUUUGGGUUGUAAAACCGAAAAUCCCAUACCUUGAAGCAAUUCUCUCAUCAUUUGACAUCUUUGAGAGCUAGGUGGGAGGUUGGGUAGUUCUUCUCUUUUCUCCUCCUUCUCUCUUUAAUAUGAUGUUCAUGGCUUGUAUUUGUAAUAACAUGUGUUGUGAGUAGUUGGAUUUGGGGCUAGGGCUAGCUCUAGCCUAACUUAUGUGCAAAUAAUGU